Molecule: long non-coding RNA, 1791 nt
Organism: Homo sapiens (human)
Lineage: Eukaryota; Metazoa; Chordata; Mammalia; Primates; Hominidae
Exons: 3
Source: RefSeq, a predicted model, not a curated record
ACUGACGAAUAGAAAACUUUAAAUAGUUGUUACUGUCUUAAGCAUGCAUAGGAGUUUCACAUGGCUAGAUGCAAUGAACCUGGAGAUUUUCCCAAGAUUGCUUGCCAAAUGUUUCUGGAAACAGCAUGGUCGUUUCCACUUGGAACAACUCACUGUUGGAUGCUUAUAUUUCUUCCGCUGUCAACUUCAGUAACUUGGUCAGAAUGACGCCAGCUCUAGUCACAAAAUGAGCCUUUCAAUCAUAGAGAGACUGAAAGACUGAGACUGCAUUUAUUUCAGAAAGUGAUUGGUGCAGAGGUAUGAUGAUAUAUUUUCAGUGUGUCUAUCAAGAAGGUGGUGUUGAAAUAUCUGUGGCAAUAUUGGCAAGGAGUCAGUCUCUUGCUAUUUCACAAUGGCCUUAAUCCUAGUGAUGGCAAUUUCUUCUUGCAACAAAGAAAGACAGUGACACCAAAGGAGAAAUAUUCAAAGUGGGAUGAAAGGGGUUGACAUUAGAAAAGACUUCAUGGUGAUUGGAAAAAAAUGGAAAAAGAUUUUGAAAGCACUCCAUCACAGGGCACACUACAAUCACAAACUUCAUGCCUUACACAGUUUCCUUUCCUGUCAUACUAACUGUGCUUCUUCAACAUCUCCUGGGAACCAGAAGAAAGAGCAAGGUUUCCAAACACCAAUAGGUGAAUUCAAGCAACCCACAUCUAGAUGGAGCACCACUCAAUAAUGCUCAAAAGCCAGAUGAGAGACAACGUGCAAUUGCCUUAUCCCAAAUGGUUAACAGCUGUGUUCAAAUACUCCACCAAGGAGUUUGGCCAAGCAUGCAGCAAGAAACAGAUGGAAUAGAGUGCCUCAGUCAGUGCAGUAGAAAAGCCAUAGGAUUAAAAGGUCAGAAUUUUGGACACAACUCUGCCAGCAACUAACGUUGGCCUGGGCAAAUUUCUCAGGUUCUCCCUCUGUAGAAUGAAGACAUUGAAUAAGACUAAACAGGUGCGUUCUCUGUCAGGCUAAACUCCAAAGAAACUUAAUUCAAUUAUUUUUUCCCCAAAACCUCAAUUCCCUUGCCUCCCUUUUUCCCCCAUGCCUACCUGGCAAAGGCCCAACCCUCAAUCAUGCCAACUAUUUCUAAUCUCUGAACUACCAACUCCUGGACAACUGAGAACCACAGGAGAAAGUGGCACCACUGAGGUCAGUGCCUCACCAGAUCCCUAGCCAGCAGCCCACCCUCACUCAGCAAAGGCCCUGUCCUCAGUUUAGAGAAGUCAGGGAACUCCCUCAAGUCCCUCCUGGUUUGCUCUGCUGGCUCACUCCCAAUGCAUUAAUUGUUUUCCUCUUCCUGUCUCAGCAGAAAAGGAUCUUGCCCUAGAUGAUGCUUCAUUAUCAUUGCUCUACGAGAUAACUUUCUUCUCUUCUAUUUUAUCGGAAGAUUCCCUCAGCAUGAUAUAUUUAUAUCAUCUAUUUUUAAGAAAAAAAAAAAAAAAAAAAAAAAAAACAACCCUCUCUUAUCUGCCCUUUCCUGCUGUUUCCUUUCUUAAGACUUAAGCUCUCUGAAAGAGUAGUCUGUAUUUAUCAUUUCCACUUUCUUAUUUUAAUUCUCUCUUCCACUCACUUCUAUCUGUUUUCUGCUACCAACACCCCAGCGAGCACCUCCUAAGGUCAUCACCUGUCUUAUUGUUAAAUCUAGUCGGCACUUUCUAGCCCACAGGCCUAAUAGCACUUUGCACUAAAAUGUGUGCUCUGAAAUGACCUUUCUCUUGGCUUUUAUGAUCUCUGUCUCCCCUUCUGCUCUCUCCCCUCCAUCCU